This 253-nucleotide ribosomal RNA is filed under the name uncultured bacterium. Its description in RNAcentral is "partial 16S ribosomal RNA". It matches the Rfam family "Bacterial small subunit ribosomal RNA", at positions 524 to 776 of the family's 1533-position model. The record is from RNAcentral.
UACGUAGGGGGCGAGCGUUGUUCGGAAUUAUUGGGCGUAAAGGGCGCGUAGGCGGCUUGAUGUGUCAAAGGUGAAAUCCCUCGGCUCAACUGAGGAACUGCCUUUGAAACUGUCUGGCUUGAGGCCGGGAGAGGGUAGCGGAAUUCCCAGUGUAGCGGUGAAAUGCGUAGAUACUGGGAGGAACACCGGUGGCGAAGGCGGCUACCUGGACCGGUUCUGACGCUGAUGCGCGAAAGCGUGGGUAGCAAACAGG